Long non-coding RNA from Vigna radiata var. radiata (mung bean), 2278 nucleotides. RefSeq lists it as uncharacterized. The transcript is spliced from 8 exons. The record is from RefSeq and is a predicted model, not a curated record. NCBI's taxonomy places the organism in Eukaryota, Viridiplantae, Streptophyta, Magnoliopsida, Fabales, Fabaceae.
AUUUAAUGGCAAAUAUGUAAUAUUGAAAACUUUUUAAUUACACCACUGUAUAGAUUAUUUUCGUUUCAGGCUUCAUCUUUCUUUCUCACUCUCGCCGUAGUGGGGAAGACCAUCGCAGAUCUUCGACGCCUCGUCUCCUACGUUCUUGGCUUCUACAAAAUCUCCGACGAGAUCCUCGUCAACACCGUCGACAACAAACAGCGAGAUCCUCCAUGGCAAUCCUCAAGGUCACCAUCGAUGCCAAGCGGAACACCAUAUCUGUCUUCAACAACGGCGAUGCCAUAGCCGUCGAGAUCCCCAAACUCAUUUGCGGCCACUUUCUCACUGACAGCAACGAUGACGACAAGGUCAAGAAGACCACCGGUGGACGCAACGGCUACAGUGCGAAUCUCACCAACAUCUUCUCCACCAAGUUCAUCAUCAAAAUCGCCGACGGAAAGCGUAAGAAGAAAUAUAAACAGUCCUAGGGUUUUCCACCUACAGCUCCCUCCCACACGCCACCGCUUCCUUCCAUCUCAGGGCUUUGUCUACCUCCGUCACCGAUAAGCCCUCCGUUUGCACAGCCGACGAACUCCAUUAUGUCUCCCUCUCAAAUUUCGAUUAGAAACUCGCUCUCUGGAACUAUAACCUUUCACUUCUCGGAGUCAAUCAGGCAACAGUGGCAAAGCUAGGUUCACUGUGGACAACCCUGUCACCCUAGUGGCUGGAAAGAACACAAAUGAUCUCUUGAGUUUAACUGUGGAACUUCAGAACUAUGGAGCAUUUUUUGACUUAUCAGGAGCGGGGAUCACUCGUCCAGUGGUACUGAAAGGUUUGGAGAAUGCCAAUACACUUGAUCUCUCCUCCCAGAAGUGGACAUAUCAAGUUCUUGUCGAAUGGGUUGGCUUGGCCGUCUUAUUUUCUUCCAUCCAGCCUAAAGUUUGAAUCUCCCCACGCCUAAGCCAUUUUUCUGUUGUAUAACUUCAUUAGUUUUAUGUGUUUGGUGUCCACUUUGAUUUAGAAUUGUGUUGAUUAUGAAAUGAUUAUAUGUUGAUUAUGAAAUAAUGUUUUCUAUGGAUACUUGUGAUGUUCACUUAAUGGAAUGAAUACACACUUCUGCACCUUUGUAGGGACUUAAUCAAAAAAAUUUAAAAGCUAUGGAACUGGAGGAAAACAAUGUUAUGUAAGGCUAAAGUAAUUGAUUGAAAAAGAUCAAAUAUUUCAUAAAAGCCUUUACAGAGAUUGCACUUUGUUUCAUUGAAGCUCGUUUGAAAAUCUAGUAUGUGAGAUAUCAGUUUAUCAUUAUGAGUUAUAUAUUCAUAUUUACUAAUGUUUUCCCUAGGAUAGUCAUUAUGCUUAUAUGCUUGAUACGGUUCUGAUAUGAAAAAGAAAAGGUAGUCUAUCUUCUAUUUCACAUUACUUUGGGAAGAGAAUCAAGUAUUCAAGAAAGUUGUUGAGAAAAACAGUGAAGAAAAUUUUAUUCUUCAUGAUGGCCCUCCAUAUGGUAAAGGCGAUCUUCACAUAGGGCAUGCCUUAAAUAAAAUUUUGAAAGAUAUUAUUAAUCGUUAUAAGCUGAACAGGAAAUGAACAUUCACUUGGUUUAAAGCAGGAGGACCAUCUUAUGCAGUAGAGCUGGGAAGGCUAGAUAGGAGAGUUUCAACAAAAGGAAGUGUUAGACACCAUAUACCUCAUCCUGAUUUCUAAGACCUUAUUCUCUUGUAAGUUGUGAAAAUUUUUAAAAAUAAAGCUUUUGAAGAUUACUUUAAAUUGAUAAUGUUCUACUAAGUCAAAAAUUGCCUUACCCAUUAUGAUAGGAAACGUAUAGGAGGGAAAUAGAAAGUUUUCUAACCUAUUUUCUCAAAAUAUCAGGAGUAUCUCGUCAGUGUUAACCCUAUUUGGAUGUUGCAACAGAGAUAAGUUAUUUCUUCAAAGAUUUGUGUUCUACAACAUUGAACGAGAUGACCUAGUGAAGAUGGAAGAAAACAUUCCAAAUCAUUCUGUACAAGAUGGAGAGAAUAUUUUCUCCCUCAUUCUUUGAUUCUAUGGAACAUCUCUUUAUCCAUCUUCCAUAUGAUAUCCAUGCACCAAUUUGAGUGGAACAUAUUUUCUAUGGAACAUAUUUUCAAGUUGGGAAUGUGUGAUAUCCAUGUACCAACUUGAGUUGGGGUGUUAAGAUAUGUCAAAUAUUCUAUUAAGGGAUAUUAGGCAAUCAAAUAUUGUUAGUUAUAAUUUAGAUAUUAUUAUAAUUUGUGCAGAUUUGUACACCUAUCAUUCCUUUGAUAUAUGAAGGAUUAUACGA